Molossus molossus (Pallas's mastiff bat) is the source of this 105-nucleotide small nuclear RNA. The record is from RefSeq and is a predicted model, not a curated record. NCBI's taxonomy places the organism in Eukaryota, Metazoa, Chordata, Mammalia, Chiroptera, Molossidae.
GUGCUCGCUUCGGCAGCACACAUAUUAAAACUGGAACAAUACAGAGAAGAUCAGCACAGUCCCUGUGCAAGUAUGACACGCAAGUAUGAAGCGUUCCAUACUUAA